AGUGAACGCUGGCGGUAGGCCUAACACAUGCAAGUCGAACGGCAGCACAGUAAGAGCUUGCUCUUACGGGUGGCGAGUGGCGGACGGGUGAGGAAUACAUCGGAAUCUACUUUUUCGUGGGGGAUAACGUAGGGAAACUUACGCUAAUACCGCAUACGACCUACGGGUGAAAGCAGGGGAUCUUCGGACCUUGCGCGAUUGAAUGAGCCGAUUUCGGAUUAGCUAGUUGGCGGGGUAAAGGCCCACCAAGGCGACGAUCCGUAGCUGGUCUGAGAGGAUGAUCAGCCACACUGGAAGUGAGACACGGUCCAGACUCCUACGGGAGGCAGCAGUGGGGAAUAUUGGACAAUGGGCGCAAGCCUGAUCCAGCCAUACCGCGUGGGUGAAGAAGGCCUUCGGGUUGUAAAGCCCUUUUGUUGGGAAAGAAAAGCAGCAGGUUAAUACCCCGCUGUUCUGACGGUACCCAAAGAAUAAGCACCGGCUAACUUCGUG
Molecule: ribosomal RNA, 492 nt
Filed under: uncultured bacterium
Lineage: Bacteria
Description: partial 16S ribosomal RNA
Rfam family: Bacterial small subunit ribosomal RNA
Source: RNAcentral